GGAGAGGUGGCCGAGAGGUCUAAGGCAACAGCCUGCUAAGCUGUGGCGGGUUUAAAGCCCGCCUCGCGGGUUCGAAUCCCGCCCUCUCCGCCA
This 93-nucleotide transfer RNA is filed under the name Candidatus Calescibacterium sp. RNAcentral's name for it is "tRNA-Ser". It matches the Rfam family "tRNA". Rfam says of the family: Transfer RNA (tRNA) molecules are approximately 80 nucleotides in length. Their secondary structure includes four short double-helical elements and three loops (D, anti-codon, and T loops). Lineage: Bacteria; Candidatus Calescibacteriota; Candidatus Calescibacteriales; Candidatus Calescibacteriaceae. The record is from RNAcentral.